AACAAUAUGAACAUAUCAUACAUAAUAUAGAAAAUGAUACAAAUUAUACUACUAUUAAUAAUAAUGUAUAUCUAACAAAAGCAGAUAAACAUAAAAAGAGGGUGGCAGCUAGUAACAGUGAUAUAAUGUGUAAAAAAGUACAUAAUAUGCAAAACACGUAUAGCAUGUAUACAAACUCGAAAUUGGUUAACCCAAAUAAUGUAGCUAGUAAAAAUUGGGAUGAAACAAAAACAUCAACAGAAAAUAUAAAAAGAGAAGAUUUUAUUUUGGAAGAAAAAAAGGAUUUAAGUGUACAUAUAAAGGGACAUACGGGUCUAGAGGAUAUAAUGGACAAAAUGGAGAAAGAAAAAGAGAAAGAAAGGGAGAAAGAAAAAAAAGAAAAAAAAGAAGAAAGAAAAAGAGAAAGAAAAAGAGAAAGAAAAAGAGAAAGAAAAAGAGAAAGAUAUGGAGAAAGAAAAAGAGAAAGAUAUGGAAAAGAAGGAGUAAAAGAAAUGGAGAAAGAAGGAGAGAAAGAAAGGGAAGAAGAGCUAUUACGUGCUGAACUGUAUCAACAAAAAAUGAAUUAUUUUAAAUCACAUGUAAAUCUACAUCAUAAAAAAGAAUUAAAAGAUUUAAAAUUGACUACAUCUGAAUAUGAUGAUAUGAUCAGACAGGUAAUUAAAUUAUAUGAAGAUGAGUUAGAAAGAAAAGGAGAAGAUACGAAUUGGUUAGAAAAAAAGAAAGAGAAACAUAAACAGAAUAAAUUAGAUACGGUUAAAUUAGAUUCAAAGGCAAGUAAAAAUAAAGUAAAAAAAAAUAAGGUAGAUACAAAAAAGGUAGAUACAAAUAAGGUAGAUAAAAAUAAGGUAGAUACAAAUAAGGUAGAUACAAAUAAGGUAGAUACAAAUAAGGUAGAUAAAAAUAAGGUAGAUAAAAAUAAGGUAGAUACAAAAAAGGUAGAUACAAAAAAGGUAGAUACAAAUAAAAUAUAUUCAACGGAGUUAGAUUCAACGGAGUUAGAUUCAACGGAGUUAGAUUCAAUGGAGUUAGAUACAAAUACGGUAAAUACAAAUAUGGUAAAUACAAAUAUGGUAAAUACAAAUAUGGUAAAUAAACAUAUGGUAAAUACAAAUAAUGUAGGUACAAAUAUGGUAGAUACAAAUAAUGUAGGUACAAAUAUGGUAGAUACAAAUAAGUUAGACACGAAUAAGUUAGACACGAAUAAAAUAUAUAAUAAUGCAGUAACAAUUUUUGGGUUGCAUGAUAAUGUGAAAAAUAUAGAAUUAGGUUCUGAAGGAAAAAAUAGUGAGGAGUUAGAUAAAGGGUUGAGUUGGGGUAUACCAACUGAGAAUCCAAAAGUUAUAGAAUGGUUAAAUAAUAAUCAACCAGAAGAGGACUGGUUAGAUAAUAAACAUUUAGCUACAGAAUGGCUAAAUAAUACCCUGUCAGAUGUGGAUACGUUAAAUAAGAACAAGUUAAAUAAUAAGUUAGAUAAUAAGGUAGAUAAUAAGUUAGAUAAUAAGUUAGAUAAUAAGGUAGAUAAUAAAAAAUUAAACAAAAGUAAGCUGAACAUUGACGAGUUAGAAAAAAAUAAAAAUGAAUAGGGACAUACCAGAAAAUAGCAGUAUAAGUACUGAAGUGAUGGGAAAUAAACUGUUUGAAAAUAAUCUACUGGGUAUUAAA
Long non-coding RNA from Piliocolobus tephrosceles (Ugandan red Colobus), 1662 nucleotides. Lineage: Eukaryota; Metazoa; Chordata; Mammalia; Primates; Cercopithecidae. The record is from Ensembl.